UCUCAGCUGACUGGCCUUCAGUCUACUCAGAACCACCUCUCAGCUGACUGGCCUUCAGUCUACUCAGAACCACCUCUCAGCUGACUGGUCUUCAGUCUACUCAGAACCCUGCCAUCAGCCUGUAGCUGAGCAAAGCCAUCUAGUGACAGCUUGUUUUCUGAUAAAAAACAGAGAUCUCGUGGAUACUCCACUGAAAGUGAAGAAGGAAAAGAGCAGAAAGUCUCCAUCUGAAGUUUGAAAUACGGUUUCUAGGGACUGACUGCCUCCUUUACACCAUGUGCACAGCUGCAUUCCUCACAGUAGCCAAAGAGUGGAAGCAACCUAAAUGCCCACCGACAGAUAACUUGAUAAAGAAAAUAUGAAGUAUAUACUCCAGGGAUUACUACUACUCUGCAAUCAAAAAGACUAUACCAUGUCCUUUGGGAAAAAAUGUAUGGAACUGGCGGAAAGGUGAUCCCCACCUCCACCUUGCUCUCAGGAGUGGAUACAGUUUUGGAAGUGGCAAGCUGUCAUGAACUCUCUAUGAAGGAAGUCCUGGAUGGUAUCUCAACACAGCAGAAAACAUAAUCUUCUGGGGAAAAGUAGGAAACAUUUGACAUAAUUUCUUUGUGCUGUUUAGCUUGACUCAGGUUUGCUUAGAUAUGAACAUAUGCAGAGAGGAGGAAGUUGGGAGGUCAAGGUUAACAGUACAAUGUGGAGAGAAAAAUCCAAAAAUGUGGACAUGUUGGUUUCAGCAACUGACUAGUUUAGAUAUCACUGUCUUGUCAGUGACGUUGAGGAGCCUCAACCUCAGAGCACUGGCCAGAUGCUGAUUUUUAAAAUACUUGAGAGGAAGCCAUUGGACCCUGUGAGCCAAGGAGACUAAGUGUAAGGGGAAGUGACUUAAGCUGUGACCUGUGUUGCUGUUCUGAUGAGCUUUCUACAUAAACCUGGCACUCAGAGCAAUAACAACAUGGUUGAUGUCAGUAAAUCCAGCGACAAUUUCAGUGACCUUGAUUUAAAGAGCAUGUUGCCAGUCUCUCAUAUAAAUUAUUAGCUUUUUAACCCUCUCCAGAAGGGAGGUGGCUUGCUGCCUGCCCACUACCAGUUAUUCUGUCAGAUUGAUGGAAAGGAGUGUGAGCAGAAAACAUUUACCUGUAUCUUUACAGUGUGUCCUGCAUUUUUUUUUUUUAUAAAGGGCUUCUUCUAGUCGCCAGUUAAUGGGC
Erinaceus europaeus (western European hedgehog) is the source of this 1205-nucleotide long non-coding RNA. RefSeq lists it as uncharacterized. The record is from RefSeq and is a predicted model, not a curated record. NCBI's taxonomy places the organism in Eukaryota, Metazoa, Chordata, Mammalia, Eulipotyphla, Erinaceidae. The transcript is spliced from 4 exons.